AUGUUUCUCUGGUUUGGAAACGAAUCUCCUCGUCGCUGUAAAGUGUUCUCGCGGGGUGGGACAGGGAGAGGAGAACUGCGAGGGGGAAGCAGAGACAGAGAGCGGGGAGGGCAAGGGUCGCCUUCCCCGGGGCCCGCUCCCCUCGGGAGCGCGCCUUUCCCAGACUCGCACCUCCAAGGUCAGGACGCCGUGGUUCCACAUAAGCGGCUGGCGGUCACCACUUCUUUCAGGUCACUCUCGGGUUUCCCGGCCACCAUAAAGGGCCACGUCUGCAGGAGAGAAGAGGGUGGAGGAGCCCCGACCAUCUUUCCUGGAGAAGAAGAAAAUUCAAGGAGUAAGUAGAAAAGCAAGGGGACCAGAAAUCGAGUGAUUGAACGACAUCGAUGAAAUGAAACCAGAGACACAGAAGGCAUGGAUCUCUCUUGCUAGUUCUUCUCCAGGUUUUCUUUCCUUGGAAUUAGGCACUGAAGUUGAGGGGCUGGAGCAGAAUGUAAGAGCGGAUUCUGAGCUUUUGCCUGGGAAUCUGUACCCCUCUGCUAAACUGAGAUACCGUAUCUCUAAUCCUGGGCUCAGUUGGGAAUUCACUAACCUCUAACGUUUUGUUUUGUUAGCAAGGUCUUGUUUGCUUUCCCCCUAUGCUGUAAACUAAACAGAUUGUCAGCAAAUCAGCCUUUAUUAAUGAAUUAGGGAGACCCCCCCCAUAAUAUCUUUGCCCAGGAUCCAAAAUUUGUUAAUCACCAGUGUAGAGAUUUAUGAGCUCUCUUAUUUUCUGUUGUUUGUGCAGGUGGAGAUUUAAAUGACCAUAUCCACUACCAAGAUUUAUUACGAGAGUGAUUGAUGUUAUAAACCAGGAAAAGGACUCUUCCCACAGCAGGGAUGAUAGAAAUAUCAAGUUGAAGUUGCCUUUGUCUUCAUGCACAAAUGACCCAGCCCUACAACACAGAAAGUAUAAUAAUUUAAUCUGAGAUCCAAGACAGCAUUAAGAGAACACUCAACAGGCCUGUUAAAUGUUUCCCCUCUGAUUCCCAAACUAGAUUUCUUUGAUUUACCCUCCCUUUUCUCAGUCUUGGUAAGACAUGAAAGUUAAAAGUUAUUUUUAGACUAAAAGAGCUAUGUGAAAAUGGGCAUUGACCAAUACUUUGUGAAACAUGUGUAUAUAUGUGUGUGUGUGUGUGUAGAUACUGAGAUAUAUGCAAAAUAACCACAGAUUAUUUAUUUGGGCUCUGGAAUGGGAUGAUAAUUAAGAAUUUGAACUAUGGAUUUACCACAUACAAGGCUAGUAAGCUCAGAAGAUUUUACUUGGAGUCCUUUUCUUACUGGAGGGAGAGGGUCUGGUUUUCUGCUUCACUUCAGCUGGUAAACUACUGAGACUGUUUGUGGGAUAAUAACAAUCAUAGUGAUAUAUACAACUGAAUAGAUUUCUGCUGUCUGAUUUUCUAAGUCUGAAAGUGUGCAAUAAAUAUCAAUUUCUUAAAAACA
RNAcentral lists this long non-coding RNA (1479 nucleotides) under Bos indicus x Bos taurus (hybrid cattle). RNAcentral describes it as "lncRNA (ENSBIXG00005002411.1)". The record is from RNAcentral. Lineage: Eukaryota; Metazoa; Chordata; Mammalia; Artiodactyla; Bovidae.